UAAUACAUGCAAGUCGAACGGUAAGGCGUCCUUCGGGAGUACACGAGUGGCGCACGGGUGCGUUACGCGUAUGCAACCUACCUUUCAGCGGGGGAUAUCCUGGGGAAACUCAGAGCAAUACCCCAUAUGCACACACUGUAGCAUUACAGAGUGUGGAAAACUCCGGUGCUGAGAGAUGGGCAUGCGUGACAUUAGCUAGUUGGUGGGGUAGCGGCUCACCAAGGCUACGAUGUCUAGCUGGUCUGAGAGGAUGAUCAGCCACACUGGAACUGAGACACGGUCCAGACUCCUACGGGAGGCAGCAGUAGGGAAUAUUGGACAAUGGGCGAAAGCCUGAUCCAGCCAUGCCGCGUGGAGGAAGACGGCCCUCUGGGUUGUAAACUCCUUUUAGCAGGGGAUAAACCUGUGCUAUAUGCACAGCUGAAGGUACCUGCAGAAUAAGCACCGGCUAACUCCGUG
Molecule: ribosomal RNA, 459 nt
Filed under: uncultured bacterium
Lineage: Bacteria
Description: bacterial SSU rRNA
Rfam family: Bacterial small subunit ribosomal RNA
Source: RNAcentral